Echeneis naucrates (live sharksucker) is the source of this 2710-nucleotide long non-coding RNA. NCBI's taxonomy places the organism in Eukaryota, Metazoa, Chordata, Actinopteri, Carangiformes, Echeneidae. The record is from Ensembl.
AAAGCCUGGGGAACCUGGCUGGAGGCUGUUUACCCUUUAGCCUGACGCUCUGGACUUAACCUCGAGGAAGGGGGGGGGGGCGUGACCAGCAGAAAGGGCCCCUUUAAAUCCAGUCAGUGGGGUUUUACGUAACACAGUGGAGGAAAAAGCGAGAGGGAAGCGCUGAGGUGACAGGACUGUAUCUGUUAGACUGAGGCACACAGGAGCGCCUGAACUAGACCGGGCUGAGGAUUUAUACUGGAGGAAAGGGAAAGCAUCUGUGUAGAUAAAGUUUAUCAAGGUCAUCGUUCCUUCUGUCCCUCACUGCGAACAGUAUAGUGACCUCUGAUAGAAAAGCAAAAGGAGAAAUUGCCAUUUCAAAGGGCCUCUGGGAACUGAGCGGCCUGCGUCAUGGCAGCCAUUGAUCUGGAACGCGGGCUGGAGCACAGCGGCCGGGGCUGGGGGCAAGAGAGGCCAGAGCUAAUGGACAACUUUGACUCGGAGAUGCAGGAGUGGGAGGACCAGCUACAGGACAUCCAGAGGAAAAUCGAAGAGUUGUACAAUGAAGUUCAGGCCCGCAGAGGAACAAACGAUAUCACUGCUGACAACCAGAAAAAUGGCGGCGAGAUUGAGUGUGGCCUGAGACACCAUGGCAGUGGGCUUUUUGCGCCCAGCCAUCACAGCAAGAAUCACCCUGGAGCCAUAACUGUACCACAUCACUAUAGAAAUGGCUGUAAAUAUAACCCCAAUGGGUACAGCAACCCUAUGAGUCAUCAGAAUGGCUACGGAUACUGCCACACCAACGGCGUCUCAGAGAUUGGAGACCUAUUGCAGGAUUAUUUGGGACAGGGGAAACCAAUGAGCCGGAAGAACAAUGGCGCUCGCCACGUGCACUUCAGUGACACAAUCAAGGUGAGCCAGGACGACCCAGCAUACCAGGAUGAGAUCAGAGGAAGAAUUGGAGAUGACAGGCUCGGUCAAGAUCCGUUUCUGAAGAGCUUCGAGGGGACUGAAAACUGGAAAAACAGACUGUCUCAUAUGAAGAGCUCCCCCCACAGAGAGAGUUCUCCCAACAAAGAAAACACAGGUACCAAGCCUCCUCUCGGACAAAGAGAUGCUCCUGCUGUACAGCCACGCUCCCAGCUUGCAGUGACAGCCGGGGAAUCUCCCGCUCUGGACAGGAAAUCCUUCAGUUCAGGCGUCUUGGGAGAUAGGAAGUGCAGCAGCCCUUCUGUGCUCAGGAAGUUUGGGGCCAUGCUGCAGGAAAAUGAGGGCAAAACGCUGACAGAAUCUGGAGUUGUGACCCAUCAGGGACUGGCCCCAGAGCCAAAAUGCCCCACUCCCAUCUGUCAGCGCAGAGCUCUGGGAGCCAGCGUGGCCGCCAGCAAGGCACCUGUGCGGGUGUCUGCCCAGAAAUGCCUAGCAGAUUCCGACGUGAUGACAGCAGAGAUAGCUCCAGGCCAAGAGUGGGUGUUAGGAUCAGACUCAGCCAGACAGAACCACAGGGAUCAAAGAGGAGGCUACAGUGGUUCUAAAGGGUCUCAGCCCAGUCCCCAGCAGUCCCAGAGGCGAUCACAUGUGGUGGGCAGCCCAAAGGUUAGACCAAGGGCGAACAGCGAGGCAGACAGAGAUGGAGGAAGGAAGUCUGCACCACAACAUGUGGAGCCUAAAAUGGACUAUAGGGUGUCAAGUGCUUCCUCUGGAACUCAGAGGAUUCAUAGAGGUGGCUUAUUGGGACAGGAGUCACCUAACUGUGGCCGGGUGAGGGAUGAAGGACUUAUUGAGCUGCUGGACAUGCUGGACAUCCAGCAUGAGUACAACUCCAGUCCCAGAACAGGACACACGGCUUACAGACAAGAGCCACAGCAGGUAAACCCAGCUGAGCUGUCUCCAGUGAAGUCUAAGAGAAGCUUCUCUCGUCCUGCACGGCCAGCAAACCAGCGACCCCCAUCCAGAUGGGCCAGCCACACCCCGACUGCCAGGAUCACUGCCCCGUCAGGCCCAAUGUACCGCCCUCCAAGCCCCCUCACCCGCCCCCCAAGCCCCAUGACCAGAACCCCAAGUCCAGCCCUGAAGCCCCGGCCUCCCGUCUCCUACUCUCUUCAGACUGAGACGGUCAUUAUGUGAUAGUUUCCCACUUCAAUAAAGCUUGAUCCCUUCUCAGGAGGAACCCCUGAGUGGUUGCCAAACACCCUUUUUCUGUAAAUAGUAAGGACUGCUCUGGUUAAGUGCUUCACGAGAGUUGCUCAGAAAUGCUUCAUUUCAUCUCAACGCCUUGUUGAGCAUAAAACCCAUCCACCACAUUCUCCAGUGUUGCCGUGGCUUUUUGCUUCUUCUGUGCCUGACACUCGCCAAUGAAUCAACUCAUUGCUUUGUUGCUGACGCCCCGACAGCCUCAUAAUCCCCUUCCCCCUCUUUUGUAUUGAAUUUCAGGUGUUUUCUGUAUAAAGAGAUUUAGCAUGCAGCCCUAGUCGGAGGGUGCAUGCUCAUGUGUUUAAUCCUCAUGGUUGCCAUCUUGAAUCAAAUUCACCAUGGCUGCCAGUGAGAGUGGAUUAAGUUGCAACUGUGCUCUCAGCAGCAAACUGCUAACUGUCAACAACAGUGUGUUUUACUGUAUCAUAUUGUCAAAGUAAUAUAUUUAAGAUGUUCAAACAACAGCUGUGACAAAUGACUAUAAUAUGCCUUUAAUGUAUUUUUUUUUCUUGAUAAUAAAUAUGACAGUGCUUUGACA